Molecule: ribosomal RNA, 473 nt
Filed under: uncultured marine eukaryote
Lineage: Eukaryota
Description: bacterial SSU rRNA
Rfam family: Eukaryotic small subunit ribosomal RNA
Source: RNAcentral
AGUUAAAAAGCUCGUAGUUGGAUUUCUGUGUGGGUGAGGCGGCCGGCCACUCGUGGUUGUAGCUAGUUAUCACCUGUACAUCUUGUCACAAGCCACGCUGGUCUUAAUUGAUUGGCGCUGGGGACUGACUCGUUUACUUUGAGAAAAUUAGAGUGUUCAAAGCAGGCUAUCGCCUUGAAUAUAUUAGCAUGGAAUAAUGAUAUAGGACUUUGGUUCUAUUUUGUUGGUUGUUCGAGAACCGAAGUAAUGAUUGAUAGGGACAGUUGGGGGCGUCAGUAUUCUGAAGCGAGAGGUGAAAUUCUUGGACCUUCGGAAGACUAACAACUGCGAAAGCAUUCGCCUAGGAUGUUCUCUUUAAUCAAGAACGAAAGUUGGGGGAUCGAAGACGAAUCAGAUACCGUCGUAGUCUCAACUAUAAACUAUGCCAGCUAGGGAUUGGUGGACGUUUAUCUACGACUCCAUCAGCACCUUAU